CACAGCUCUCUCAUGUGUGAGGGGUUUGAUCUCAGUGCUGAUGCAAGAGCUCUGAAGCCUUCCUCUCCAAAACUGCAGUAUGACAGGCUUAGUGUCUCCAGUG
Long non-coding RNA from Alosa sapidissima (American shad), 103 nucleotides. RefSeq lists it as uncharacterized. The record is from RefSeq and is a predicted model, not a curated record. The transcript has 3 exons. NCBI's taxonomy places the organism in Eukaryota, Metazoa, Chordata, Actinopteri, Clupeiformes, Clupeidae.